GUCAUUUCGGUAAUAUACACAUUAAGAUUGGAGCCAUACAGAGAAGAAUAAUCUUGUCUCCUCUUCAAGAAUGGCACUCAAAUCUGUGAAUAUUUCUUUUUUUGU
Molecule: small RNA, 105 nt
Filed under: Marmota monax (woodchuck)
Lineage: Eukaryota; Metazoa; Chordata; Mammalia; Rodentia; Sciuridae
Source: RNAcentral